This 253-nucleotide ribosomal RNA is filed under the name uncultured bacterium. RNAcentral's name for it is "partial 16S ribosomal RNA". It matches the Rfam family "Bacterial small subunit ribosomal RNA", at positions 524 to 776 of the family's 1533-position model. The record is from RNAcentral.
UACGUAGGGUGCAAGCGUUGUCCGGAAUUACUGGGCGUAAAGAGCUCGUAGGUGGUUUGUCGCGUUGUCCGUGAAAACUCACAACUCAAUUGUGGGCGUGCGGGCGAUACGGGCAGACUGGAGUACUGCAGGGGAGACUGGAAUUCCUGGUGUAGCGGUGGAAUGCGCAGAUAUCAGGAGGAACACCGGUGGCGAAGGCGGGUCUCUGGGCAACAACUGACGCCGAGGAGCGAAAGCGUGGGGAGCGAACAGG